ACUUAUAUAGUUUAAAUAAAACUUUAUAUUUUCAUUAUAAAAAUAAAAUUCUUAAUUUUUUUAAGUA
This 67-nucleotide transfer RNA is filed under the name Lithax obscurus. Its description in RNAcentral is "tRNA-Glu". The record is from RNAcentral. Lineage: Eukaryota; Metazoa; Arthropoda; Insecta; Trichoptera; Goeridae.